CGCCCAUUAGCUAGCCCAACCCCUUCACUCAACAACCCCCUAUUAAUAACCCUUAAAACACGUGACAUCCACAUAACCAAACCAUUUUUCCCCCCAAGUCCAGGCGAUGAAAAAGGAAAUCCGGAGCAAUAGAAAAAGUACCGCAAGGGAAAGCUGAAAGAGAGAUGAAACAGCCCAGUAAAGCUUAAUGAAGCAGAGAUUUAGACUCGUACCUUUUGCAUCAUGAUUUAGCUAGCACUUUCAAGCAAAGAGAACUUAGAGUUUGUAACCCCGAAACUGAGUGAGCUACUCCAAGACAGCCUAUUUAUAGGGCAAACCCGUCUCUGUGGCAAAAGAGUGGGAAGAGCUUUGAGUAGAGGUGACAGACCUACCGAACUCAGUUAUAGCUGGUUGCCCGUGAAUUGGAUAGAAGUUCAGCCCCCUGGGUUCCCGACUCAUUCACUGUUAUCACCCUUCAGACGCAGCGAGAAACCAGGGAUGUUAGUCAAAGGGGGUACAGCCCCUUUGAAACAAGACACAACUUUUACAGCAGGAUAAAGAUCACAUUAAAUUAAGGACAAAUGUUUUAGUGGGCCUAAAAGCAGCCAUCUUUACAGAAAGCGUUAAAGCUCAGACAUACGCACCUCCACAUAUACCGAUACCCCUAUCUUAAGCCCCUAAAUUUAACGAGCCCCCCUAUGCUAACAUAGGAACGACCAUGCUAAUAUGAGUAAUAAGAGAAUAUUAAGUACUCUCUCCUCGCACAUGUGUAUGUCGGAACGGACCCCCCACCGACUCUUAACGGCCCCAACAAAAGAGGGAAUUGGAAUGUGUCAUAAACAGACUAGAAAAACAUCCAACUCAACCCCGUUAACCCCACACUGGCGUGCUCCAGAGGAAAGACUAAAAAGGGAAGAAGGAACUCGGCAAACUUACCCCAAGCCUCGCCUGUUUACCAAAAACAUCGCCUCUUGCAAAACAUAAGUAUAAGAGGUCCCGCCUGCCCAGUGACAAGAUAGUUUAACGGCCGCGGUAUUUUGACCGUGCAAAGGUAGCGUAAUCACUUGUCUUUUAAAUGAAGACCCGUAUGAAUGGCAUAACGAGGGCUUAACUGUCUCCUUCCCCCAGUCAAUGAAAUUGAUCUCCCCGUGCAGAAGCGGGGAUAAAAUCAUAAGACGAGAAGACCCUAUGGAGCUUUAGACGCAAAGACAGAUCAUGUCAAAUACACCUAGUUAUAGGCCUGAACUAAAUGAAACCAGUCUUGAUGUCUUCGGUUGGGGCGACCAUGGGGAACACAAAACCCCCACGUGGAACAGGAGUACACCCCUAUCUUUCCCACCUCCUACAAACUAGAGCAACAGCUCUAAUAAGCAGAAAUUCUGACCAAACUGAUCCGGCAACGCCGAUCAACGAAUCAAGUUACCCUAGGGAUAACAGCGCAAUCCCCUUUUAGAGCCCAUAUCGACAAGGGGGUUUACGACCUCGAUGUUGGAUCAGGACAUCCUAAUGGUGCAAGGACAUCCCAAUGGUGCAGCCGCUAUUAAGGGUUCGUUUGUUCAACGAUUAAAGUCCUACGUGAUCUGAGUUCAGACCGGAGUAAUCCAGGUCAGUUUCUAUCUAUGUUGUGAUCUUUUCUAGUACGAAAGGACCGAAAAGAAGAGGCCCAUGCCUCUAGCACGCCUCACCCCCACCUAAUGAAAAAAUCUAAACUAGACAAAAGGGCAUGACCACUUAUGUCGAAGAUAACGACGU
This 1731-nucleotide ribosomal RNA is filed under the name Paralichthys lethostigma (southern flounder). RNAcentral's name for it is "16S ribosomal RNA". It matches the Rfam family "Bacterial large subunit ribosomal RNA". The record is from RNAcentral. Lineage: Eukaryota; Metazoa; Chordata; Actinopteri; Pleuronectiformes; Paralichthyidae.